UCUUUAGGAAGCUUGCUUCCAAAGAGACUUAGUGGCGAACGGGUGAGUAACACGUAGGUAACCUGCCCAUGUGCCCGGGAUAACUGCUGGAAACGGUAGCUAAAACCGGAUAGGUAUGAGGGAGGCAUCUUCCUCAUAUUAAAGCACCUUCGGGUGUGAACAUGGAUGGACCUGCGGCGCAUUAGCUGGUUGGUGAGGUAACGGCCCACCAAGGCGAUGAUGCGUAGCCGACCUGAGAGGGUGAACGGCCACAUUGGGACUGAGACACGGCCCAAACUCC
RNAcentral lists this ribosomal RNA (280 nucleotides) under uncultured Bacillota bacterium. RNAcentral's name for it is "uncultured Firmicutes bacterium partial 16S ribosomal RNA". It matches the Rfam family "Bacterial small subunit ribosomal RNA", at positions 68 to 339 of the family's 1533-position model. Lineage: Bacteria; Bacillati; Bacillota. The record is from RNAcentral.